UACGAAGGGGGCUAGCGUUGCUCGGAAUCACUGGGCGUAAAGGGUGCGUAGGCGGGUUUUUAAGUCAGGGGUGAAAUCCUGGAGCUCAACUCCAGAACUGCCUUUGAUACUGAAGAUCUUGAGUCCGGGAGAGGUGAGUGGAACUGCGAGUGUAGAGGUGAAAUUCGUAGAGACCGGGAAGAACACCAGUGGCGAAGGCGGCUACCUGGACAGGUACUGACGCUGAAGCGCGAAAGCUAGGGGAGCAAACAGG
RNAcentral lists this ribosomal RNA (253 nucleotides) under uncultured bacterium. RNAcentral's name for it is "partial 16S ribosomal RNA". It matches the Rfam family "Bacterial small subunit ribosomal RNA", at positions 524 to 776 of the family's 1533-position model. The record is from RNAcentral.